Molecule: ribosomal RNA, 494 nt
Filed under: uncultured bacterium
Lineage: Bacteria
Description: partial 16S ribosomal RNA
Rfam family: Bacterial small subunit ribosomal RNA
Source: RNAcentral
GACGAACGCUGGCGGCGUGCUUAACACAUGCAAGUCGAACGGUGAAGCGCCUUCCUUUUUGGUGGGUGUGGAUGAGUGGCGAACGGGUGAGUAACACGUGAGUAACCUGCCCCCUUCUUCUGGAUAACCGCAUGAAAGUGUGGCUAAUACGGGAUAUUCUGGGUCUGUCGCAUGAUGGGUCUGGGAAAGAUAUUGUUUCGGUGGGGGAUGGGCUCGCGGCCUAUCAGCUUGUGGGUGGGGUGAUGGCCUACCAAGGCGGUGACGGGUAGCCGGCCUGAGAGGGUGGACGGUCACACUGGGACUGAGACACGGCCCAGACUCCUACGGGAGGCAGCAGUGGGGAAUAUUGCACAAUGGGCGCAAGCCUGAUGCAGCGACGCCGCGUGAGGGAUGGAGGCCUUCGGGUUGUGAACCUCUUUCGCCAGUGAAGCAGGCCUGCCUCGUUUGUGGGUGGGUUGACGGUAGCUGGAUAAGAAGCGCCGGCUAACUACGUG